Molecule: ribosomal RNA, 253 nt
Filed under: uncultured bacterium
Lineage: Bacteria
Description: partial 16S ribosomal RNA
Rfam family: Bacterial small subunit ribosomal RNA
Source: RNAcentral
UACGAAGGGGGCUAGGGUUGUUCGGAAUUAAUGGGCGAAAAGCGCGAGUAGGCGGGCCGUUAAGUCGGGGGUGAAAGCCCAGAGCUCAACUCUGGAACUGCCUUCGAUACUGGCGGCCUGGAGCAUGAUAGAGGCGAGUGGAAUUGCGAGUGUAGAGGUGAAAUUCGUAGAUAUUCGCAGGAACACCAGUGGCGAAGGCGACUCGCUGGAUCAUUGCUGACGCUGAGACGCGAAAGCGUGGGGAGCAAACAGG